This 510-nucleotide ribosomal RNA is filed under the name uncultured bacterium. Its description in RNAcentral is "partial 16S ribosomal RNA". It matches the Rfam family "Bacterial small subunit ribosomal RNA", at positions 28 to 507 of the family's 1533-position model. The record is from RNAcentral.
GACGAACGCUGGCGGCGUGCUUAACACAUGCAAGUCGAACGAAGAGCGAUGGAAGCUUGCUUCUAUCAAUCUUAGUGGCGAACGGGUGAGUAACGCGUAAUCAACCUGCCCUUCAGAGGGGGACAACAGUUGGAAACGACUGCUAAUACCGCAUACGAUCUAACCUCGGCAUCGAGGAAAGAUGAAAGGUGGCCUCUAUGUAUAAGCUAUCACUGAAGGAGGGGAUUGCGUCUGAUUAGCUAGUUGGAGGGGUAACGGCCCACCAAGGCGAUGAUCAGUAGCCGGUCUGAGAGGAUGAACGGCCACAUUGGGACUGAGACACGGCCCAGACUCCUACGGGAGACAGCAGUGGGGAAUCUUCCGCAAUGGACGAAAGUCUGACGGAGCAACGCCGCGUGAGUGAUGACGGCCUUCGGGUUGUAAAGCUCUGUUAAUCGGGACGAAAGGCCUUCUUGCGAAUAGUGAGAAGGAUUGACGGUACCGGAAUAGAAAGCCACGGCUAACUACGUG